Molecule: transfer RNA, 68 nt
Filed under: Podarcis lilfordi (Lilford's wall lizard)
Lineage: Eukaryota; Metazoa; Chordata; Lepidosauria; Squamata; Lacertidae
Description: tRNA.Ile
Source: RNAcentral
GGGAUUCAAUUGGUUAGAGCGUGCUGCUGAUAACACCAAGGUUGCAGGUUCAAUCCCUGUAUGGGACA